This 462-nucleotide ribosomal RNA is filed under the name uncultured bacterium. RNAcentral's name for it is "bacterial SSU rRNA". It matches the Rfam family "Bacterial small subunit ribosomal RNA", at positions 28 to 507 of the family's 1533-position model. The record is from RNAcentral.
GAUGAACGCUAGCGGCGUGCCUAACACAUGCAAGUCGAACGUGAGAGGGUACUUGUAUCCUUGAAAGUGGCGGACGGGUGAGUAAGACGUAGGUGACCUGCCUUGAAGUGGGGGAUAACCAUUGGAAACGAUGGCUAAUACCGCAUAAGCUGGUGACGAUGGGAAUCGUUAUCAGGAAAGCUUUAGUGCUUUGAGAGGGGCCUACGGCCGAUUAGCUAGUUGGUGAGGUAAAGGCUCACCAAGGCGAUGAUCGGUAGCUGGUCUGAGAGGACGAUCAGCCACACGGGAACUGAGACACGGUCCCGACUCCUACGGGGGGGCAGCAGUGAGGAAUAUUCGGCAAUGGGGGCAGCCCUGACCGAGCAACGCCGCGUGGAGGAUGACGGUUUUCGGAUUGUAAACUCCUUUUCUCAGGGAAGAGCGAGGACGGUACCUGGGGAAUAAGUCACGGCUAACUACGUG